UACCUACUCCCUCCGUUCUGAAUUACCUGUCACACGUAUUGAUGUAUCUAGAUGUAUUUUAAUUCUAGAUACAUCCAUUGCAGUGACGAGUAAUUUGGGAUGGAGGGAGUACUUC
Molecule: non-coding RNA, 115 nt
Organism: Triticum aestivum (bread wheat)
Lineage: Eukaryota; Viridiplantae; Streptophyta; Magnoliopsida; Poales; Poaceae
Source: Rfam